Molecule: ribosomal RNA, 430 nt
Filed under: uncultured bacterium
Lineage: Bacteria
Description: bacterial SSU rRNA
Rfam family: Bacterial small subunit ribosomal RNA
Source: RNAcentral
UGGGGAAUUUUGCGCAAUGGGCGAAAGCCUGACGCAGCAACGCCGCGUGAUCGAUGAAGCUUUUCGGAGUGUAAAGAUCUGUCGUGAGGGAAGAAUAACUUGGAUGCAAAUAGUUUUCAAGUCUGACGGUACCUUACAAGAAAGCACCGGCUAACUUCGUGCCAGCAGCCGCGGUAAUACGAGGGGUGCUAGCGUUGUCCGGAAUCAUUGGGCGUAAAGGGUCCGUAGGUGUCUUUGCAAGUCGUUUGUUACAUCCACCGGCUUAACCGGUGGCCUGCAAUCGAAACUGCAAGGAUAGAGUUCGAGAGAGGAAAGUGGAAUUCCUGGUGUAGCGGUGACAUGCGUAGAUAUCAGGAGGAACACCAAUGGCGAAGGCAGCUUUCUGGCUCGAUACUGACACUGAGGGACGAAAGCGUGGGGAGCAAACAGG